This 468-nucleotide ribosomal RNA is filed under the name uncultured bacterium. RNAcentral's name for it is "partial 16S ribosomal RNA". It matches the Rfam family "Bacterial small subunit ribosomal RNA", at positions 28 to 507 of the family's 1533-position model. The record is from RNAcentral.
GACGAACGCUGGCGGCGUGCUUAACACAUGCAAGUCGAACGGAAAGGCCCUGCAUAUGUGGGGUGCUAGAGAGGCGAACGGGUGAGUAACAAGUGAGUAACCUGCCGUUGACAAUGGGAUAAAUUCAGGAAAAUGGGGCUAAUAACGGAUAGGAGAUACUGCUGCAAGGCGGGGGUUGGAAAGUUUCGGCGGUUGGGGAUGGACUCGCGGCUUAUCAGCUUGUUGGUGGUGAAGUGGCUUACCAAGGCUUUGACGGGUAGCCGGCCUGAGAGUGUGACCGGCCACAGUGGGACUGAGACUCGGCCAAGACUCCUACGGGAGCCAGCAGUGGGAAAUAGGGCACAAUGGGCGGAAGCCUGAUGCAGCAACGCCGCGUGCGGGAUGACGGCCUUCGGGUUGUAAACCGCUUUCGCCUGGGACGAAGCGUGAGUGACGGUAAUGGGUAAAGAAGCACCGGCUAACUACGUG